RNAcentral lists this unclassified non-coding RNA (25 nucleotides) under Mus musculus (house mouse). RNAcentral describes it as "oocyte_clustered_small_RNA8466". The record is from RNAcentral. Lineage: Eukaryota; Metazoa; Chordata; Mammalia; Rodentia; Muridae.
ACAAUGCCUGCACGCCUGAAGGAUG